Non-coding RNA from Gossypium raimondii (Peruvian cotton), 123 nucleotides. NCBI's taxonomy places the organism in Eukaryota, Viridiplantae, Streptophyta, Magnoliopsida, Malvales, Malvaceae. The record is from Rfam.
AAUAGGAAAAUGACAAAUCAAAUUUUUCCUUUUGAUUUUCAGCUUUUUUCUCUUGGAAAAAAUUAAAUCCAACUAAAAAUGCUAAAAAUCAUGAAGAUAAAUCUGAUGUGUCAUUCUCAUAUU